GCUGGGUUAAAUACAACCCAGUUGGGCUAAAUGUCUGGGUUUGUCCCUAUGUUACCCAGCACUGGGUUGUAUUUAACCCAGCAUUUUUUAGAGUGUAAAAACAAAUCAGA
This is a long non-coding RNA of Sinocyclocheilus grahami, 110 nucleotides long. RefSeq lists it as uncharacterized. The record is from RefSeq and is a predicted model, not a curated record. The transcript has 3 exons. NCBI's taxonomy places the organism in Eukaryota, Metazoa, Chordata, Actinopteri, Cypriniformes, Cyprinidae.